AGAGCCUGCUCUGGGACGGCGGGGUGGGGGAGAGCCGAGGAGCGGAGCUGCCGGAUCCUCGCCCUGCGGAGCCCCCAGGAUUACAAGGAAUUGCGUGCUCCUUCCCAGACGUGAGCGAGGGUUAUACCAAAGAGCCAACCUCCUUCGCGCCCUGCUGUCCAAAUUAAUCCCUUGGACCCUUGAGAAGACAGGGGGUUUUUCGGAGCCAUGGCAUCGACAGAAGGUGCCAACAAUAUGCCUAAGCAAGUAGAAGUCCGGAUGCAUGAAAGUCAUUUAAAUCCAGUGGAGCACAGAUCCAAGAACUUAUGUGUGCAGUUCUGCCAGUCCCUCCACAGGAAUCUGCUCCUGACUCUUACUGUGUUUGGUGUUAUCCUGGGUGCGGUGUGUGGGGGUCUUCUUCGUCUAGCAACACCUAUUGACCCUGACAUCAUCAUGUUAAUAGCCUUCCCAGGAGAUAUACUUAUGCGGAUGCUAAAAAUGCUGAUCCUCCCUUUAAUUAUCUCCAGUUUAAUCACAGGACUGUCUGGAUUAGAUGCUAAAGCAAGUGGCCGCCUGGGGACAAGAGCCAUGGUCUACUACAUGUCCACCACAAUUAUUGCUGCUGUGCUGGGUGUGAUUCUGGUUUUAGCCAUCCAUCCAGGGAAUCCAAAACUCAAGAAACAGCUUGGUCAAGGGAAGAAGAACGAUGAAGUGUCUAGUCUGGAUGCCUUCUUGGAUUUGAUCCGAAACUUGUUCCCUGAAAAUCUGGUUCAAGCAUGCUUUCAGCAGAUCCAAACUGUCACCAAGAAAGUGCUGGUGCCACUACCUGUUGAAGAGCCACCUAAUGUCACUGAUUCUGCUAUUGCUAUGGUGAAUGAGACAGCCCCACCUGAAGCCCAAAUGGUCAUUAAGAAGGGGCUUGAAUUUAAGGAUGGCAUGAAUGUCCUGGGUUUGAUAGGAUUCUUUAUUGCUUUUGGCAUUGCUAUGGGGAAAAUGGGAGAACAGGCCAAGAUGAUGGUGGAUUUCUUCAACAUCCUGAAUGAGAUUGUAAUGAAGUUAGUAACCAUGAUCAUGUGGUAUUCCCCGUUGGGUAUUGCUUGCCUCAUCUGUGGAAAAAUCAUUGCAAUCAAGGACUUAGAAGUAGUUGCUAGACAACUUGGCAUGUACAUGGUCACUGUGAUUGUGGGUCUUGUCAUCCAUGGAGGGAUCUUCCUGCCUCUGCUCUACUUUGUGAUAACAAGGAAAAGCCCAUUUUCAUUCCUCGCUGGGAUUUUCCAGGCAUGGAUCACAGCACUAGGCACAGCUUCCAGUGCUGGAACAUUACCCGUCACAUUCCGGUGCCUUGAAGAAAAUCUGGGCAUUGAUAAGCGUGUAACAAGGUUUGUUCUUCCUGUUGGAGCAACUAUUAACAUGGAUGGAACUGCCCUUUAUGAAGCUGUGGCUGCCAUCUUCAUAGCACAGAUGAAUGGAAUUGACCUGGAUGGAGGCCAGAUAGUUACUGUGAGUUUGACUGCCACCCUUGCAAGCGUUGGAGCUGCCAGCAUUCCCAGCGCGGGACUUGUCACUAUGCUGCUGAUCCUGACUGCAGUGGGUCUCCCUACCCAGGACAUCAGUUUGCUUGUUGCUGUUGACUGGCUUUUGGACCGGAUGAGAACGUCAGUCAAUGUAGUGGGGGAUUCUUUUGGUGCUGGCAUUGUCUACCACCUUUCCAAGGCAGAACUCGACACCAUUGAUUCCCAUCAUAAAGGGCAUGAAGACAUUGAAAUGACCAAGACUCAGUCAAUCUAUGACGACAUGAAAAAUCAUAGGGAAAACAACUCAAACCAAUGUGUUUUUGCAGCUCACAACUCAGUCAUGGUAGAUGAGUGCAAGGUACCUUUCACAUUUAUGGAUAUUGAGACAUGUAUAUAGCACUGCAUGCUUUAUUUUAUUUUUUAACCUGCAUGUAUUUUUCAAAUCGUUCUGCAAAUAACAAUGUGACAGCAAGGUCCAUGAACCCCAGACAUUUUGAAUGUGUUUAAGCAGUUCAAAAGAUGGUUUUUUUGCACUCUCUUAAAACUUGUCAUUUGAUGGGAAAAAAUCAUGUACUUUGUUUACAUAUCAAAAGGCAAGAUGCAGCGUAUUAUGGAAUAUGCCAAGACACAGAGAAUAUGGCAUCACCUUCUAUGGACAUUUACUUAAUUUUCUGUGGCAACAGAGAACUUAAUUGCCAACCCAAAUGAAGGAUGGCUGCAAUUGAGAUGCAGGUGUUGUCACCUGCUGACUGCCUUCAUGAUAUGCUGUUCAGAGGUCGACAUGUUGAAUGCGCUUUAGCAUGAGAAUGCUCCUGCACUCACACAGCACGCUUCUGCUUCUCUUGUGUCAGCGUUCCUUCCCGAGGCACUAAGGCACAGACACUCUCUUCCCUCUGUAACCCCUGCUGUAACUAACAUGCAAUAUUAACACUAAUAAUGACGUCUUGAUCAGAGUGAAGUGAGCUUGAGCAACACCACCAGCUGAAUGCAAAGACAGUUUCAGGAGGUUACGGGUUAGAAGUUCACUAAGAACCCACCACUGGAAUGGGGCAGUUUAAAAUCCAGAGAGAGCUUUUGAAAAGGAGGAGAAAAGAAAGCAAAGCAAGAUGGAACUUCUAAUUUCAUAGUAUUUUUAUUUUUUUGGCAAUUAUUAAUGCUCCAGUCUGAUGCUGUACACUGUUUUUGAGACAGUGGGUUUGCCAAUCAUCUUACCUUAGCCAUUUAUCCAAACAGAUUCUCUUGUAUCUCCCAGUUGCCACAACUGAGCCAGUAUUUAGCUUGUGAAGAACUGCACUAAGUCCAUUAGCACAUCUCCAUUUAUAUUGGAAAUAUAAUCCUAUACUGUCAUUUUCUCUUGUGUCUAGCCUAGCUGGAAAUGUUCUUUAGAAAGAUUUUUUUUUCCUAAUGCUUACUUCUUGAGAAUGCAGGCUAAACCUGAAUUCUCAGGUGAAAAAGUAAUACUGAAUUCCAGGAAAAAAACCAAACAGCAUUCAUCUUAUCUUCAAAUUUUUUCCUGAAUUUUCCAAGGUUUCAAUAAAGUGAUUUUUUUAAAAAAUCACACAUUUUUUCUGACAUGGCUGUCCCCUUUAUCUUCAGGCCACGCUUUUUCCAUUUGAAAAAUUUAAAAACUAAGAUCUGAAAUGGAAAGAGAAUACAUGCUUACAUAAAAUUGAAAAUGGUCUUUAAUUGAUGUUUCUCAAAAAAGGCAAGGACACAAGAGAUUAAAAUUUGAAGAAAAAAACUCUUGAAAGAAAGACACUUUUUGGAUAACUUAUUUUGAAUUUUUUUGAAAACUUUUUAAGUUAAAUAGGCAAUUCUGUGUUUAAGAUUAUGUUUAUGGAAUUGAAUACUGAUAAUUUAAUCUACUCCCAGUUUCUCAGAUUUGCAGAGAGAUCCAAGUCAAGUUAAAAAGUAGUAGCCUGUUGAUGCAAACAAUACUUGCACUUUCUUUUCUCCUUCAGUUUCUCAUAUUAUCUCCCUCUGCUGAGGCAAUAGAUUGCCUCAAAACCAUGGAUUAGCAGUGCUGUAUGUCAUCAUAAGCACACCCUUUAAUUCAAGUUUGGGACCAGUGAUUUAUGGGCUAGAAAUGUUUGUUCUUUUUAAUUGCUUUAGGUUUGCUCUGCUUACAGUCUCAGUUUGCACUUUUAAACUCAUGAAAAGAGCCAGGCUUUACUGGAUCGAGCACAAGACUGACUUUGAGCAGGUCACUGCUCUUGUCUGCCAAAAGGACGUGUUGUUGUGACCUAACUGAUGAGCUGUGAAUAUAUGCUGGCACUUGCAGAGCACUUGGAUCAUGUUGAAGUGGUCCACAACUCCCAAGUGUUAGACUUGCGAAGGCAACAAAGAGUGGGAUCUGGGGCUUUGAAACAGCCAGCUGUUAAUUUUGAAAAGCCAUCUCUUCAUCCUGUCCAAUGCGCUGGUGGGUUGAAAAGCUUACUGCAGCUCUGGUCAGGAUAUGGAAACACUAAUCUACUAGCACACCCUUUCUAUUUACUUUCUGUAAUAUAUUCCAUGUAUAACACUCAUAGAUUAUAAUUUUGCAUGGUCAAUGUACAUAAUUAAUAAUUAGUUUACCUUUGUAUGGGGUUAGAGUGGUUGUUAUUGCAUGAUACUUUUGUAUUUUUUUUUAUUACCAUAUUUCACAUGACUCUGUGUGAUUUUCAUUUCUGAAUAAGCUGUUCGUUGCUGUAUUUGCAUGUUUUCCCCUUCCAAUUAUAUAAGAAAAAGCUUGACUUUGUUUCAAAAAUCAGUGCAUUUUGUCAUGUUUCCAUGUCCCAAUGCUUCCAUACAUCCUGUUUAUCCAGCAUGGGGAAUUUCAGCUCUGUCUUUAAGUUUUCAUUUGAAGCUGAAGAUGUUAACUUACAAGGUAACACUGGCAACCAAUGGCAAAUCUGCAGACUUCAAUGUUGUUGAAGAAGAGCCUUGGAAACGUGAAAACUAA
This is a non-coding RNA of Cyanistes caeruleus (blue tit), 4434 nucleotides long. NCBI's taxonomy places the organism in Eukaryota, Metazoa, Chordata, Aves, Passeriformes, Paridae. The record is from RefSeq and is a predicted model, not a curated record.